RNAcentral lists this ribosomal RNA (252 nucleotides) under uncultured microorganism. Its description in RNAcentral is "partial 16S ribosomal RNA". It matches the Rfam family "Bacterial small subunit ribosomal RNA", at positions 524 to 776 of the family's 1533-position model. The record is from RNAcentral.
UACGUAGGUCCCGAGCGUUGUCCGGAUUUAUUGGGCGUAAAGCGUGCGCAGGUGGUUUAAUAAGUCUGAUGUAAAAGGCAGUGGCUCAACCAUUGUGUGCAUUGGAAACUGUUAGACUUGAGUGCAGUAGAGGAGAGUGGAAUUCCAUGUGUAGCGGUGAAAUGCGUAGAUAUCGGGAGGAACACCAGUAGCGAAGGCGGCCAUCUGGCUGAUAACUGACGCUCAUGCACGAAAGCGUGGGGAGCAAACAGG